This 157-nucleotide ribosomal RNA is filed under the name Stachybotryna sp. MUT 5466. Its description in RNAcentral is "5.8S ribosomal RNA". It matches the Rfam family "5.8S ribosomal RNA". From Rfam's summary of the family: 5.8S ribosomal RNA (5.8S rRNA) is a component of the large subunit of the eukaryotic ribosome. It is transcribed by RNA polymerase I as part of the 45S precursor that also contains 18S and 28S rRNA. Functionally, it is thought that 5.8S rRNA may be involved in ribosome translocation. The record is from RNAcentral. Lineage: Eukaryota; Fungi; Ascomycota; Sordariomycetes; Hypocreales.
AACUUUCAACAACGGAUCUCUUGGCUCUGGCAUCGAUGAAGAACGCAGCGAAAUGCGAUAAGUAAUGUGAAUUGCAGAAUUCAGUGAAUCAUCGAAUCUUUGAACGCACAUUGCGCCCGUUAGUAUUCUAGCGGGCAUGCCUGUUCGAGCGUCAUUU